ACAGUUACAGCAGACGAAUAAGCACUAGGUGGUAGCAUUAAUCAUCAGAAAUGCCAAUGUGUCAUGGCACCACAUACAAACUCGACGAUAUAUCCAAGUUGUCAGAACACGUCAGCUGACAUUCGGGUUCGUAGCGAAAAGAGACCUUCUAGUGUGCGGAGUGGCAGAGAGCGUCUAUGGGCCAUUUUCAC
Molecule: non-coding RNA, 191 nt
Organism: Caenorhabditis elegans
Lineage: Eukaryota; Metazoa; Nematoda; Chromadorea; Rhabditida; Rhabditidae
Source: Ensembl